AAAGGGUGCGUAGGCGGCGAGGUAAGUCAGAUGUGAAAUCCCGGGGCUCAACCCCGGAACUGCAUUUGAUACUGCCUUGCUUGAGGACUGGAGAGGAGAUCGGAAUUCACGGUGUAGCAGUGAAAUGCGUAGAUAUCGUGAGGAAGGCCAGUGGCGAAGGCGGAUCUCUGGACAGUUCCUGACGCUGAGGCACGAAGGCCAGGGGAGCAAACGGGAUUAGAUACCCCUGU
This 230-nucleotide ribosomal RNA is filed under the name uncultured bacterium. RNAcentral's name for it is "partial 16S ribosomal RNA". It matches the Rfam family "Bacterial small subunit ribosomal RNA", at positions 562 to 791 of the family's 1533-position model. The record is from RNAcentral.